ACUCGGUUAGCUCAGUCGGUAGAGCGCAAGACUUUUAAUCUUGUGGUCGAGGGUUCGAUCCCCUCAUCGAGUG
Molecule: transfer RNA, 73 nt
Filed under: Luminiphilus sp.
Lineage: Bacteria; Pseudomonadati; Pseudomonadota; Gammaproteobacteria; Cellvibrionales; Halieaceae
Description: tRNA-Lys
Rfam family: tRNA
About the family: Transfer RNA (tRNA) molecules are approximately 80 nucleotides in length. Their secondary structure includes four short double-helical elements and three loops (D, anti-codon, and T loops).
Source: RNAcentral